UCCUACGGGGCGCAGCAGUGGGGGAUAUUGCACAAUGGGCGCAAGCCUGAUGCAGCGACGCCGCGUGAGCGAAGAAGUAUUUCGGUAUGUAAAGCUCUAUCAGCAGGGAAGAAAAUGACGGUACCUGACUAAGAAGCUCUGGCUAAAUACGUGCCAGCAGCCGCGGUAAUACGUAGGGGGCAAGCGUUAUCCGGAUUUACUGGGUGUAAAGGGAGCGUAGACGGCGAUGCAAGUCUGAAGUGAAAGGCUGGGGCCCAACCCCCGGACUGCUUUGGAAACUGUAUGGCUGGAGUGCAGGAGAGGUG
RNAcentral lists this ribosomal RNA (305 nucleotides) under uncultured bacterium. Its description in RNAcentral is "bacterial SSU rRNA". It matches the Rfam family "Bacterial small subunit ribosomal RNA", at positions 337 to 659 of the family's 1533-position model. The record is from RNAcentral.